GGCAAUAUGGCCGAGUGGUUAUGGCGUGUGGCUCAAGUCCUCAUCAACGUUAGUUGGCGUGGGUUCAAAUCCCACUGUUGUCA
RNAcentral lists this transfer RNA (83 nucleotides) under Flammulina velutipes KACC42780. RNAcentral's name for it is "tRNA-Leu (CAA) (tRNA-Leu-CAA-2-1)". It matches the Rfam family "tRNA". From Rfam's summary of the family: Transfer RNA (tRNA) molecules are approximately 80 nucleotides in length. The record is from RNAcentral. Lineage: Eukaryota; Fungi; Basidiomycota; Agaricomycetes; Agaricales; Physalacriaceae.